AGUUUAAAUGGUGGGUAUAAGUUUCCGGGAAGGCCGGAUGCACGCUCUCUUUAGUGUUCGAGCCUGACACGGACAGGCGUCAAUAAGUCGCCAUGCCGGUUGCCAAGACUUGGGUUUGCAGUAAGACGUACGUCACCCCAAGACGUCCUUUUGAGAAGUCACGUCUUGACCAGGAGUUAAGACUCAUUGGUGAGUAUGGUCUCAGGAAUAAGAGAGAAGUCUGGAGGGUGAAGUUCACUCUGGCCAAAAUCCGCAAGGCUGCCAGAGAGCUGCUCACUCUGGAUGAGAAGGAUCCUAAGCGUCUCUUUGAAGGUAAUGCUCUGCUCAGGCGUCUGGUGCGUAUUGGAGUGCUGGAUGAGGGAAAGAUGAAGCUCGAUUACAUUCUGGGCCUGAAAGUGGAGGAUUUCUUGGAGAGGAGGUUGCAGACUCAAGUCUUCAAGCUUGGGCUGGCCAAGAGUAUCCACCAUGCACGUGUGCUCAUUCGUCAGAGGCACAUCCGCUGACCACGUUUAAACUCCUCCCAGUGAGGUGGAAUGAAAUAUUCUGCAAGGUCAAUUCGGUGAUUAAACCGUAUACCUUUGCUUGUAAGCCAAAAAUCUAGACCUUGCCAUGAAGUCUGGGGUGCUCUAGUGCACGAAACAGUCGGAGGGUGCGUAAGCAGGUUGUGAACAUCCCCUCCUUUGUGGUGAGGCUGGACAGCCAGAAACACAUCGACUUCUCCCUCCGCUCUCCAUAUGGUGGUGGCCGUCCUGGCCGCGUCAAGAGAAAGAACGCCAAGAAAGCCCAGGGUGGUGGUGGAGGCGGUGAUGAUGAAGAGGAAGAUUAAACUGUUUCCUCUUAAAGAGGUGGAGGGACUCAGCAGUGCUUGCUCUCUCUUCUCCCUCAAGUUUUCAAUAAAAAUGGUUCAUUCCCAA
Danio rerio (zebrafish) is the source of this 914-nucleotide non-coding RNA. NCBI's taxonomy places the organism in Eukaryota, Metazoa, Chordata, Actinopteri, Cypriniformes, Danionidae. The record is from RefSeq and is a predicted model, not a curated record.